RNAcentral lists this ribosomal RNA (365 nucleotides) under Staphylococcus aureus. Its description in RNAcentral is "bacterial SSU rRNA". It matches the Rfam family "Bacterial small subunit ribosomal RNA", at positions 445 to 802 of the family's 1533-position model. The record is from RNAcentral. Lineage: Bacteria; Bacillati; Bacillota; Bacilli; Caryophanales; Staphylococcaceae.
AAGAACAUAUGUGUAAGUAACUGUGCACAUCUUGACGGUACCUAAUCAGAAAGCCACGGCUAACUACGUGCCAGCAGCCGCGGUAAUACGUAGGUGGCAAGCGUUAUCCGGAAUUAUUGGGCGUAAAGCGCGCGUAGGCGGUUUUUUAAGUCUGAUGUGAAAGCCCACGGCUCAACCGUGGAGGGUCAUUGGAAACUGGAAAACUUGAGUGCAGAAGAGGAAAGUGGAAUUCCAUGUGUAGCGGUGAAAUGCGCAGAGAUAUGGAGGAACACCAGUGGCGAAGGCGACUUUCUGGUCUGUAACUGACGCUGAUGUGCGAAAGCGUGGGGAUCAAACAGGAUUAGAUACCCUGGUAGUCCACGCCG